RNAcentral lists this long non-coding RNA (523 nucleotides) under Homo sapiens (human). RNAcentral's name for it is "HSALNT0212032". Lineage: Eukaryota; Metazoa; Chordata; Mammalia; Primates; Hominidae. The record is from RNAcentral.
CUUUUACUCCGUGAUUUGGGUGAAAGACAUUCACUACACCAGAGGAGACAAAGGAAGCACGUUGCUGUUAUUGCUGUUCAUGGCCUUCUUCCAACAGUAAGGGAAGCUAGUUUGAAGAUAAACUGUACAAAGGAAAGUAAAACAAGAGAAGUGCAGCGAAAUGGUGCCGGAGCCGUGAUGCAGCUACAACCUAGAGUUCUCACAAUCUCUUAAUUUCCUGCUGUCGGCGAUAAAUGUGAUCAUUUUGGCCGAUUUGGUUCAGUUUUUCUGUUCCGUGAAGCUGAAAGCAUCCUGACACAGUUAUGGCUUCCACAACUCAGGAUCAGAUUCAUUGGUAGCUGGACAGUACUGGACCCAUCACAAUUUCAAUACUGGGAAGAGAAAAGCCAGUCCUCUGGGGAAAGAUGAAGCACUGGACCUACAAACUAACUACUUUCAACCCCUGGAUGAAUCUAGGAGAUUAGUCCCGAUAUCAAGGCAAUGUCAAGAGUGAAGGGGAGGAUCAAGAUUUUUUUUGAGUGAU